AUUGAACGCUGGCGGCGUGCUUAACACAUGCAAGUCGUGCGGUAACAGGCGUAGCAAUACGUGCUGACGAGCGGCGAACGGGUGCGUAAUACAUGGGAAUCUGCCCUUUAGUGGGGAAUAACCCGGCGAAAGCCGGGCUAAUGCCGCAUAAGAUCUUCGGAUGAAAGCGGGGGAUCGUAAGACCUCGCGCUGAUGGAUGAGCCCAUGUCGGAUUAGCAGUUGGUGAGGUAACGGCUCACCAAGGCGACGAUCCGUAGCUGGUCUGAGAGGACGGCCAGCCACACUGGGACUGAGACACGGCCCAGACUCCUACGGGAGGCAGCAGUGGGGAAUAUUGGACAAUGGGGAAACCCUGAUCCAGCGACGCCGCGUGUGUGAAGAAGGCCUGCGGGUUGUAAAGCACUUUCGGU
Molecule: ribosomal RNA, 410 nt
Filed under: uncultured bacterium
Lineage: Bacteria
Description: bacterial SSU rRNA
Rfam family: Bacterial small subunit ribosomal RNA
Source: RNAcentral